RNAcentral lists this ribosomal RNA (482 nucleotides) under uncultured bacterium. RNAcentral's name for it is "partial 16S ribosomal RNA". It matches the Rfam family "Bacterial small subunit ribosomal RNA", at positions 30 to 507 of the family's 1533-position model. The record is from RNAcentral.
AUUGAACGCUGGCGGCAUGCCUUACACAUGCAAGUCGAACGGUAACAGGUCUUCGGAUGCUGACGAGUGGCGAACGGGUGAGUAAUACAUCGGAACGUGCCCAGACGUGGGGGAUAACGAGGCGAAAGCUUUGCUAAUACCGCAUACGAUCUAAGGAUGAAAGCAGGGGACCGCAAGGCCUUGGGGGUUUGGAGCGGCGGAUGGCAGAUUAGGGAGUUGGUGGGAUAAAAGCUUACCAAGCCGACGAUCUGUAGCUGGUCUGAGAGGACGACCAGCCACACUGGGACUGAGACACGGCCCAGACUCCUACGGGAGGCAGCAGUGGGGAAUUUUGGACAAUGGGCGAAAGCCUGAUCCAGCAAUGCCGCGUGCAGGAUGAAGGCCUUCGGGUUGUAAACUGCUUUUGUACGGAACGAAAAGGCUCUGGCUAAUACCUGGGGCACAUGACGGUACCGUAAGAAUAAGCACCGGCCAACUACGUG